RNAcentral lists this transfer RNA (74 nucleotides) under Iningainema tapete BLCC-T55. It matches the Rfam family "tRNA". Rfam says of the family: Transfer RNA (tRNA) molecules are approximately 80 nucleotides in length. Their secondary structure includes four short double-helical elements and three loops (D, anti-codon, and T loops). Further hydrogen bonds mediate the characteristic L-shaped molecular structure. tRNAs have two regions of fundamental functional importance: the anti-codon, which is responsible for specific mRNA codon recognition, and the 3' end, to which the tRNAs corresponding amino acid is attached (by aminoacyl-tRNA synthetases). tRNAs cope with the degeneracy of the genetic code in two manners: having more than one tRNA (with a specific anti-codon) for a particular amino acid; and 'wobble' base-pairing, i.e. permitting non-standard base-pairing at the 3rd anti-codon position. The record is from Rfam by way of RNAcentral. Lineage: Bacteria; Bacillati; Cyanobacteriota; Cyanophyceae; Nostocales; Scytonemataceae.
GUUUGAUUAGCUCAGUCAGGUAGAGCAAUCGACUCUUAAUCGAUAUGUCACAGGUUCAACUCCUGUAUCAAUCA